RNAcentral lists this ribosomal RNA (497 nucleotides) under uncultured bacterium. Its description in RNAcentral is "partial 16S ribosomal RNA". It matches the Rfam family "Bacterial small subunit ribosomal RNA", at positions 28 to 507 of the family's 1533-position model. The record is from RNAcentral.
GAUGAACGCUGGCGGCGUGCCUAAUACAUGCAAGUCGAGCGAACGGACGAGAAGCUUGCUUCUCUGAUGUUAGCGGCGGACGGGUGAGUAACACGUGGAUAACCUACCUAUAAGACUGGGAUAACUUCGGGAAACCGGAGCUAAUACCGGAUGAUAUUUUGAACCGCAUGGUUCAAAAGUGAAAGACGGUCUUGCUGUCACUUAUAGAUGGAUCCGCGCUGCAUUAGCUAGUUGGUAAGGUAACGGCUUACCAAGGCAACGAUGCAUAGCCGACCUGAGAGGGUGAUCGGCCACACUGGAACUGAGACACGGUCCAGACUCCUACGGGAGGCAGCAGUAGGGAAUCUUCCGCAAAGGGCGAAAACCUGACGGAGCAACGCCGCGUGAGUGAUGAAGGUCUUCGGAUCGUAAAACUCUGUUAUUAGGGAAGAACAUAUGUGUAAGUAACUGUGCACAUCUUGACGGUACCUAAUCAGAAAGCCACGGCUAACUACGUG